This 492-nucleotide ribosomal RNA is filed under the name uncultured bacterium. RNAcentral's name for it is "partial 16S ribosomal RNA". It matches the Rfam family "Bacterial small subunit ribosomal RNA", at positions 29 to 507 of the family's 1533-position model. The record is from RNAcentral.
AGUGAACGCUGGCGGUAGGCCUAACACAUGCAAGUCGGACGGCAGCACAGUAAGAGCUUGCUCUUACGGGUGGCGAGUGGCGGACGGGUGAGGAAUACAUCGGAAUCUACUUUUUCGUGGGGGAUAACGUAGGGAAACUUACGCUAAUACCGCAUACGACCUACGGGUGAAAGCAGGGGAUCUUCGGACCUUGCGCGAUUGAAUGAGCCGAUGUCGGAUUAGCUAGUUGGCGGGGUAAAGGCCCACCAAGGCGACGAUCCGUAGCUGGUCUGAGAGGAUGAUCAGCCGCACUGGAACUGAGACACGGUCCAGACUCCUACGGGAGGCAGCAGUGGGGAAUAUUGGACAAUGGGCGCAAGCCUGAUCCAGCCAUACCGCGUGGGUGAAGAAGGCCUUCGGGUUGUAAAGCCCUUUUGUUGGGAAAGAAAAGCAGCAGGUUAAUACCCCGCUGUUCUGACGGUACCCAAAGAAUAAGCACCGGCUAACUUCGUG